Non-coding RNA from Nematostella vectensis (starlet sea anemone), 82 nucleotides. Lineage: Eukaryota; Metazoa; Cnidaria; Anthozoa; Actiniaria; Edwardsiidae. The record is from Rfam.
GUUGCGGUGGCCGAGGGGUUAAGCCGCUCGACUGGAAAUCAAAUGGGAUCUUCCCGCGUAGGCUCGAAUCCUACCCGCAACG